This is a non-coding RNA of Acanthosepion pharaonis, 114 nucleotides long. The record is from the annotation of a GenBank genome assembly. NCBI's taxonomy places the organism in Eukaryota, Metazoa, Mollusca, Cephalopoda, Sepiida, Sepiidae.
UUACGGCAAUAUCACAUUGAAACACUGGUUUUUGUACGCCCAUCGAAGUUAAGUAACGUUGAGCUUGGUCAAUACUUAGAUGGGUGAUCGCCUGGGAACACCAGGUGCUGUAAG